RNAcentral lists this ribosomal RNA (540 nucleotides) under Triticum aestivum (bread wheat). Its description in RNAcentral is "partial small subunit ribosomal RNA". Lineage: Eukaryota; Viridiplantae; Streptophyta; Magnoliopsida; Poales; Poaceae. The record is from RNAcentral.
AUGUCAUGUGCAUCAUCCAUGCUCAUUGUUUGCACACACGACAUGCUUGCCAUGAUUCCUUCUAGUAUGUUGCAUCUUCGCACUACUAGGUUGCUUGACUUGAUCACUAUGAUUGCUUUGUUUGUCGCAUCACCCAUUUCCAACUCUUACUCGAUUUCUUGGGUUGAUGACAUAUAUGCUCUUGCCUCUCACAUGAUUUAUCUUGAUCAUUGUCCCUUGUCUCCAUUUGUGGCUUCCUUCAUAUCCACUUGUAUUGAGUGCCAACUUGCUAUGCUUAUUGAUCAUGGAGACUUGGACAUAUUACUUGUGAUGCAUGCCUGUUUCAUUGAGCCUAUUGUCUUUGGUUGUUCUCGCAUCAUAUGCCUCCAUACUAUGAAAUGCUCCCUUGUCCUUUCUCAUGAUGAGCAUGAUGCAUACACUUGUUGGGUAUCAUACCACACGAAUGAUAGGUUUUGCACUUCUGCUAACCUCAUUUGUUUUUUUAAGUGUUUGUCAUGUUCCUUCAUUUUGGAGGCUUCAGAAGGCGGUGCCGUUAUGUGA